AGUGAACGCUGGCGGUAUGCCUAACACAUGCAAGUCGAACGGCAGCACAGUAAGAGCUUGCUCUUACGGGUGGCGAGUGGCGGACGGUUGAGGUAUACAUCGGAAUCUACUUUUUCGUGGGGGAUAACGUAGGGAAAUUUACGCUAAUACCGCAUACGACCUACGGGUAAAAGCAGGGGAUCUUCGGACCUUUCGCGAUUGAAUGAGCCUAUGUCGGAUUAGCUAGUUGGCGGGGUAAAGGCCCACCAGAGCGACGAUCCGUAGCUGGUCUGAGAGGAUGAUCAGCCAGACUGGAACUGAGACACGGUCCAGACUCCUACGGGAGGCCGCAGUGGGGAAUAUUGCACAAGGGGCGAAAGCCUGAUCUAGCCAUACCGCGUGGGUGAAGAAGGCCUUCGGGUUGUAAAGCCCUUUUGUUGGGAAAGAAAAGCAGCAGGUUAAUACCCCGCUGUUCUGACGGUACCCAAAGAAUAAGCACCGGCUAACUUCGUG
This 492-nucleotide ribosomal RNA is filed under the name uncultured bacterium. RNAcentral's name for it is "partial 16S ribosomal RNA". It matches the Rfam family "Bacterial small subunit ribosomal RNA", at positions 29 to 507 of the family's 1533-position model. The record is from RNAcentral.